GAAAUCUGUAGCGUCUGAAGCAUGGGUCUGUGGUUCUCAGCGGAACACACGGUCCCAAAAGGCCCUUCCCAAGAUGGCCGGGGCUUCCGCCUGCCGCCCUCCCUCCCGUGGUGCUGAGCGCAGGCUGGGCGCGGCCACAUCACCCUAAGGGCGUGGGUGUCGGAGUCUUGCAGGCUGGGGUCCCAGGUGAGAGAUGCCAGCAGGGAGCUCUAGAUGGGGAACUGGGUGAGCCUGGCUCGGUAAGGGCGUGCUCAGAACACCCCAUCCCCGAACACGGUCUUGUGUGAUAAAAUGUCACGCAAGAAGAAUCUGAAACCGCGAGAAGAGGAGGACACGGCCAGACUGCACCGAACCCCGGCACCUCUGUGGGGAAAAGCAGGUCAGGCUGAGCGGGGCCGGCGGGGACACGCGCUCCUGGGCUUCUCCAGAGUCUGCCGGGGCCGGGCCCGGGACCGAGGCUGGGACGCGCUGUGCAGUCCCACCCCUCACACCCCUCGCACGCCUGGAAACACCCUCGGGGUAACACAAGCCGGGGUUGAGUUUCUUGAAGAGAAGCUGGCUGCAUCCUGGAGCCAGGGAAAGAGGAGCACAGGGGCCAAGCGGUCCAGGGCCACGGAGGAGCAGGACCCCUGGGGAAAGGCCCGGGUCUAGGCCGGGGCCAGGGGACCGUGGUGGAGACCUCAAAAAUGGCAGAACACGGAAGCAGGGCGAGAAAAGUAAACGUAGUCCUUGCGGCAGUUUGAAAUACACGCGGGUAAACGCUGGGUGACUCCGCCCGGAUGCAGAGUGGGGGUCUGUGUCUCUCCCCACAGGCUGCAGGGACCGGGCUCUGGGUAACCAGCAGAAGGUAACAGAACGAGGCUGCUUUUCCUCCAGGCUGUUCUGGUGUCCGCGCGUGGCUUGUGCGCUGACUCCUGACUUGGAGCGCCGCGUGGCCAGAGAAAUCUGGGUGCCUCCAGGCCACCAUGGUGAGAGGAGAGGCCACCGCACGAACGGAAGAAGCGAUGGAGACGGUCUUUACGACCUAAGAACAGAAAGAGUUUCUUAUACACAAUCCGAAAAGUAAAAAUUGAUUGAUUGAUUGAUUGAGAUGGAAUCCCACUCUGUCGUCCAGGUUAGAGUGCAAUGGCUUGAUCUCGGCUCAUUGCAACCUCCGCCUCCCGGGUUCAAGCGAUUCUCCUGCCUCAGUCUCCCGAGUAGCUGGGAUUAUAGGCGCCCGCCACCACGACUGGCUAAUUUUUAUAUUUUUAGUAGAGACGCAGUUUCACCGUGUUGACCAGGCUGGUCUUGAACCCCUGACCUCAGGUGAUCCGCCUGCCUCGGUCUCCCAAAGUGCUGGGAUUACAGGCGUGAGCCACCGUGCUGGGCCAAAAAUCAAUUUUAAAACGACCACAUGAAAAAUAAAUCUCCUGUAUCACAGAGCAUGUUCUGAGGAAAAUGAAAGCCACAGAUCCAGAAGAUAUUUGUGACACAUAUGAAAAACAAAAACUCAUAUUCAAAACAUACACAGCAUUGCUAUGAAUCAUUAAGAAAAAUGAUUUCGUCUCCUCUACAGGAGCCUGAGUGAAGGACAAGGACAGAUCAUUAUAAACCAGGGAGCUUGAAGAGCUAGUUAACAAGCACAGAAAAUAUGUUCCCCCACACUGUUAAUCAAGAAAAUUAAAACUGUAAUGAGAUGCCGCAUUGUAUCCAUGGGAUUUCUAAAAGUACAAAGUUCCACAAUACCCGUUGUUGACGGAGCAGGGAAACCGCAGGAGCCUGCAGGAGAUGAGAUUGUAAAUGUGCAAGGACAUUUUGGAGAAGAGUUGACAACAUCUCACUCACGUGUAUCAAGCCAAGUGCCGAAAGAAGAAUUGGUUGUCAUAAAGAAAACAGAAACCCAGAAUGGAUGUAGCUUAUCCCUCCGAUGGAAAGUUACAAAGAAGUUAAAAUGAAUGGGCUGCAUCUCUGUGUAACAAUUUGGAUCAAUAUCAAAGACACAUUUGUUAAAGCAAGGUGUACAAUGAAACCUGCAACAUGAUUUGUCUGUUUAGUAAAACACAGAAAAUCUAACUCCGCCUGGCUUACGAACACACACAUGUGUUAGAAUUUGGGAAAAGGAAAGGGAGGGAGGCCGGCUACACGUGAACUUUUGGAAAAUCUCAGAGGGUCUGGGGCACCAGGUGGAGACCAUGGCAGCCUUCAGGGAUAUGAGUGAGUUCUCGUGAGAUCUGAUGGUUUUAUAAGGGGCUUUUCCCCCUUUUUCUCGGCACUUCUCCUCGCUGCCGCCACAUGAAGAAGGAUGUGUUUGCUUCCCCUUCUGCCAUGAUUGGAAGUUUCCUGAGACCCCUCCAGCCAUGCUGAACUGAUUUCCUGAAGACACCAUCCCAGUCAAGUGGUCUGCCUCAUACUGAGCCACCAGACCACCCAGCAUGUCCUCACCCGCGUGGACAGAUGACAGGGGGCUCUGAGCAUGCCCCAGUGCACCUUACGCACCUGUGAAGGUUGGGAGCCUGAGUGCAGCUCCUGUGGCACUGCCCGUGGCCAGGGAGAUGCCUCCUCAGUGCUCCUGACCCUCGGUGGAGGACCGGCCAGCGUGUGUGCCGACAGUGUGUCCACACAGGUGUGCUGCGCCCAAUGGGCAAGUCGGAAACAAAGGAAAAUGCUCUCUGAAGGAAAAGGCAAAGCAAUUUGGAUUUCUGCGAGAAAAUGAGACUGCAUGUGGCACUGUAAAUACCCUUGCUGCUGAACUUCUCGCUCCCCCCAGAUACACCCUUCAUAUUGACAUGUCUAGAACCUUAAACUGAACCAAGUUGAAAAGUGAGAUUAAUUAGGGCUGAGUUAACAGUUAACACAUACAAUGAAAUAUUGAAUAAGGCUUACUGAGCAAACAAGAAUAUACAGAAGUGGAGGAGACAAAGAGGAUAUUAAAAAUGCAGACAGUGAUGAGGCAGAUAGCUGGGACAAAUAAUGAAAAAUAGUAAAGGAGAUAAGGCAGAUAUUGGAGGAGCAAAGAGUCUCUGAAAUAGAUAUCGGUAUUGAAAGAUGCUAAACACGCUUCUAAAGAGACUUUCUAGCCGACACAGGGAGCUCACUGAUGGAUGAAGUAGAAACAUUUUUAAAUGGAAUCAAACAGGGCAAAGCGGGAGAAGAAAAAGAAGUAGGUAAACCAGUAAAUUAACUUUUCUCGUGUGUGCUGUGUACUAUUUGUGAGUGAGCAAUGAACGCUGUGGCUCCCUGGAGGGGCUGUGGUGGGAAGUUUCACUGCGAUCAAGUAGAGGUGGUGCCUUUGGACCUCUUCUCCUGAACCUGCAGGGAGAGGCGCAGAAUAUUCACAAGGUGAAGAUGCAACAAUUCAAAUGAGUGUCCAGGUUUUCAGGGUGGUUGCUAAACCCCAAAAGACCGAUAGCUUCGGGCAAAAGACUGCAGAAAGAACAGCUUUACAUUUUUACGGAAGCAAUGGGAAAUAUACCCUGUAAGCCUUGAAAAAUUCCCGAAGGGAUUCCUGUUCAUUCCUGUGGAUCCUAAUGGGCCAGCAUAGACCUGUUAGUCAAAAGAGGAUUUAUCUACAUUGCACACUCAUUCAGGCAGGCAGGGAAGUCAACGCCACUUUCAGAUGUUUGUAGAGCAUGAACUCUGUCCGUUCCCACGCCCUCCAAAGGCUGUUACACAGGGAUGCCCGCUUCUGGACAGAAGUGAUUCAUGCAGGAUGAGAACCAUGACCACAGAAGAUUUUGUGCAUGUGGUUAUUUCAAUAUUUAAUUUAAGUGUAUGCAUGAGUGUUCAGGAUAAAAAUGCUUGGAGUGUACUUUAAUUCCAUUAAAAA
Molecule: long non-coding RNA, 3805 nt
Organism: Homo sapiens (human)
Lineage: Eukaryota; Metazoa; Chordata; Mammalia; Primates; Hominidae
Gene: NHIP
Product: neuronal hypoxia inducible, placenta associated
Source: Ensembl